This 497-nucleotide ribosomal RNA is filed under the name uncultured bacterium. RNAcentral describes it as "partial 16S ribosomal RNA". It matches the Rfam family "Bacterial small subunit ribosomal RNA", at positions 28 to 507 of the family's 1533-position model. The record is from RNAcentral.
GAUGAACGCUGGCGGCGUGCCUAAUACAUGCAAGUCGAGCGAACGGACGAGAAGCUUGCUUCUCUGAUGUUAGCGGCGGACGGGUGAGUAACACGUGGAUAACCUACCUAUAAGACUGGGAUAACUUCGGGAAACCGGAGCUAAUACCGGAUAAUAUUUUGAACCGCAUGGUUCAAAAGUGAAAGACGGUCUUGCUGUCACUUAUAGAUGGAUCCGCGCUGCAUUAGCUAGUUGGUAAGGUAACGGCUUACCAAGGCAACGAUGCAUAGCCGACCUGAGAGGGGGAUCGGCCACACUAGAACUGAGACACGGUCCAGACUCCUACGGGAGGCAGCAGUAGGGAAUCUGCCGCAAUGGGCGAAAGCCUGACGGAGCAACGCCGCGUGAGUGAUGAAGGUCUUCGGAUCGUAAAACUCUGUUAUUAGGGAAGAACAUAUGUGUAAGUAACUGUGCACAUCUUGACGGUACCUAAUCAGAAAGCCACGGCUAACUACGUG